RNAcentral lists this long non-coding RNA (2743 nucleotides) under Salmo salar (Atlantic salmon). RNAcentral describes it as "lncRNA (ENSSSAG00000101145.1)". Lineage: Eukaryota; Metazoa; Chordata; Actinopteri; Salmoniformes; Salmonidae. The record is from RNAcentral.
CUGAAACACAUUAGCGCGUUUGGCAAGUGCUCUAUCAGAGGGCCAUUAGACUGAGGCUUGUGCAUGAGGGGAUAGCAUGCUUUUACUUUCACUCUCUUUCUAAUAAAAAACGAUUUCCCGGUCGGAAUAUUAUCGCUUUUUUACGAGAAAAAUGUUAUAAAAAUUGAUUUUAAACAGCAGUUGACAUGCUUCGAAGUACGGUAAUGGAAUAUUUAGAAUUUUUUUGUCACGAAAUGCCCCAUGCUCGUAACCCUUAUUUACCCUUUCGGAUAGUGUCUUGAACGCACGAACAAAACGCCGCUAUUUAGAUAUAACAAUGGAUUAUUUGGGACCAAACCAACAUUUGUUAUUGAAGUAGCAGUCCUGGGAGUGCAUUCUGACGAAGAACAGCAAAGAUCCUUUCAAGCUCUGUCAGGCUGGAUGGGGAGCGUCACUGCACAGCUAUUUUCAGGUCUCUCCAGAAAUCUUAGAUCGGCUUCAAGUCCGGGCUCUGGCUGGGCCACUGAAGGACAUUCAGAGACUUGUCCCGAAACCAGUUCUGCCCUGUCUUGGCUGUGUGCUUAGUGUCAUUGUCCUGUUGGAAGGUGAACCUUCACCCCAGUCCGAGGCCCUGAGUGCUCUGGAGCAGGUUUUCAUCAAUGAUCCCUGUACUUCGCUCCAUUCAUCUUUCCCUCGAUCCCGACUAGUCUCCCAGUCCCUGCCGCUGAAAAACAUCCCCACAGCAUGCUGCCACCACCAUGCUUCACUUUAGGGAAGAUGUGACGAUUGGCAUUCAGGCCAAAGAGUUCAAUCUUGGUUUCAUCAGACCAGAGAAUCUUGUUUCUCAUAGUCUGAGAGUCCUUUAUGUGCCUUUUGGCAAACUCCAAGUGGGCUCUCAUGUGCCUUUUAAUGAGGAGUGGCUUCUGUCUGGCCACUCUACCAUAAAGGCCUGAUUGGUGGAGUGCUGCAGAGAUUGUUGUCCUUCUGGAAGUUUCUCCCAUCUCCACAGAGGAACUCUGGAGCUCAGCGUGACCAUCUAGUUGCUCAGUUUGGCCGGGCGUCCGGCUCUAGAAAGAGUCUUGGUGGUUCCUAACUUCCUCCAUUUAAGAAUGAUGGAGGCCACUGUGUUCAAUGGAACUUCAAUGCUGCGGAAAUGUUUGGAUACCCUUCCCCAUAUCUGUGCCUCAACACAAUCCUGUCUCGGAGCUCUACGGACAAUUCCUUUGACCUCAUGGCUUGGUUUUUGCUCUGACCUGCACUUUCAACUCUGGGACCUUAUAUAGACAGGUGUGUGCCUUUCCAAAUCAUGUCUAAUCAAUUGAAUUUGCCACAGGUGGACUCCAAUCAAGUUGUAGAAACAUCUCAAGGAUGAUCAAUGUAAACAGGAUACACCUGAGCUCAAUUUUGCAUCUCAUAGCAAAGGGUAUGACUACUUAUGUAAAUAAUGUAAUACUUAUGUAGAUGUGAUAUUUCAGUUUAUUUUAAUUUUCAUAUUUGCUAAAAUAUCAAAAAAACUGUUUUUGCUUUGUCAUUAUGGGGUAUUGUGUGUAGAUUGUUGAGGAAAAAAACAAUUUAAUCCACUUUAGAUUAGGGCUGUAACAUAACAAAAUGUGGAAAAAGUCAAGUGGUCUGAAUACUUUCCGAAUGCACUGUACAUAUAAAUUGCAGAAAACAGUAUGUAAACAUGAUUGAAGUGACCAUUGUUCAAUUACUCUAUGUAUACUGAAAUAAAACAAUGCAACACGCAACAAUUUCAAAGAUUUUACAAAUUUACAUUUCAUAUAAGGAAAUCUGUCCAUUAGACCCUCAUCUCUGGAUCUCCAUUAACUGGGAAUACAGAUAUGCAUCUGUUGGUCACAGAUAUUGUACCUUAAAAAAACCCUCUGGGCACAGGUAUAGGGCACCCCUCAGCAGGAAAAACAGAACUAGCAAUGUCACGUCCUGACCAGUUUAGGUAUUAUUUGUAUUGUAGUUUGGUCAGGACGUGGCAGAGGGUAUUUGUUUUGGUUGGUUUGGGGUGGUUGGUUGUGUUUAGGGUGUGUGAUUUGUUAGUUCUGGGUGUUGGGUAUGUUCUAGGUUGUAUGUUCUAAGUUCUUUCUAGUUUAGUUUUUCUAUGUUUAGGUUUGGGUGUGGACUCUCAAUUGGAGGCAGGUGUUUCUAUUUUCCUCUGAUUGAGAGUCCUAUAUAUAGGUAUGUGUUUGGGGUUGUUAAUUGUGGGUAGUUGUAUUUCACACUGCUGUUAUUUUUGUAGCCUGUGAAACUGUCGGUCUGUCGUUCUUUGUUUUCUUGUUUUCUCGUGUUCACAAUAAAUAUAAAGAUGAACAUGCAACCCGCUGCGCCUUGGUCCUCUCUCUCCUACGACAGCCGUGACAGAACUACCCACCACAAACGGACCAAGCAGCGGAGGAAGGAGCAACAACAGGUGGAAUAUCGUGAGUCAUGGACUUGGGAGGAGAUUCUGGCCGGAGAGGGCCCAUGGAGGAAGUCUGGGGCGGACUGGAAUCGCUACUGGGGAAGACGGCUGGCGAGGAAGCCGGAGAGGCAACCCCAAGAAUAUUUUUUUGGGGGCACACGGGUAGGUUGGCUGGGCGAGGAUUAAGUCCCAAGCCAAAUCCCCGUGUUUUUUCCAAACAACCAUUGACUGGACAGGUCCCGUGCUUUGGGGUGAUGGGUGCUGUGACGAGGCCGGGUAUUUUCAGGCCGGUAUGCGCAGUACCAGCGCCCCGCAUGUGCCAGGGGAAAGUGGGCAUCCAGCCAGUAGGGG